CCUACGGGAGGCAGCAGUGAGGAAUAUUGGUCAAUGGCCGGAAGGCUGAACCAGCCAAGCCGCGUGAAGGACGAAGGUGCCAAGCAUUGUAAACUUCUUUUGUCAAGGGACAAAAGUAGGCUCGAGAGCCUGUCCGAGGGUACUUGAAGAAAAAGCAUCGGCUAAGUCCGUGCCAGCAGCCGCGGUAAUACGGAGGAUGCGAGCGUUAUCCGGAUUUAUUGGGGUUAAAGGUUGCGGUGGGGGGGUUUUAAGUACGCGGUUAAAGGCCGGGGCUCAACCCUGAGCGAGCCGUUGAAACGGGCUGUCUUGAGAGGGCGUGAGGUAUGCGGAAUGCGCAGUGUAGCGGUGAAAUGCUUAGAUAUUGCGCAGAACUCCGAUUGCGAAGGCAGCAUACCGGCGGCGAUCUGACGCUGAGGCACGAAAGCGUGGGUAUCGAACAGGAUUAGAUACCCCUGUAGUC
This 460-nucleotide ribosomal RNA is filed under the name uncultured bacterium. RNAcentral describes it as "partial 16S ribosomal RNA". It matches the Rfam family "Bacterial small subunit ribosomal RNA", at positions 338 to 795 of the family's 1533-position model. The record is from RNAcentral.